Physeter macrocephalus (sperm whale) is the source of this 2052-nucleotide RNA transcript. It is a transcript of the gene named tigger transposable element-derived protein 1-like, with no coding region annotated. Lineage: Eukaryota; Metazoa; Chordata; Mammalia; Artiodactyla; Physeteridae. The record is from RefSeq and is a predicted model, not a curated record. The transcript has 6 exons.
GGCGCUGACGGCAGCCUCGGCGAGCCCCUGCUCCACCGGCCCCGAGCCAGGUGCCGGGGGUAGGGAGAGACGCGGCGGGGCGGCGAGAGACACCCUCUUCCUUCUCGAGCCCGGCCAACUGCCCAGCUCACCUCGUGGCUCUGUGAGAAUUGUCUCUAGAAUGCAGCAAACCAUGAGGUGGCAGUUCCAAGUUCACUGAAGCAAUGAGCUCCCUCCCUGGUCACAAGAUGGCUGUAGCAGUUUCAGCUAUCACAAUCUCACACCAAUGUCCAGUACGCGGGCCUCUCACUGUUGUGGCCUCUCCCGUUGUGGAGCACAGGCUCUGGACGCACAAGCUCAGCAGCCAUGGCUCACGGGCCUAGCCAUUCCGUGGCAUGUGGGAUCUUCCUGGAUCGGGGCACGAACCUGUGUCCCCUGCAUUGGCAGGCGGACUUUCAACCACUGCACCACCAGGGAAGCCUAGAGCCCUCUUUUUUUGUGGCUAUGCUGCCUCUCCAGGUGAGAGGACUUGGGAAUCUGUAAAGAAAGGAGCCUUUGCAGGUGUGGUGCUGAAGAACCUUUCACCAGAUCUGGAAAUACUUUGUCCCUGGAGUAGACUUCCAGUCAAAUGAGGAUCUCCAUAGGAAUGGAAGAAAUCACACUUUCUGCUCCAGGAUCCUGUGUUUGCCAGGUCACAUUGCUUUACUUUGGAUUUCUACCAUCUGAGCGAGGAUCAGUCCAAGGAUCUGAGACCCACCGUGGUGCAGCAGAUUGCUGCGCAUCGCCAGGGAAAUGUGUCCUCUUGCGCCAGGUAAGAAUCUGAAGAUGAGACGUUUGCAUCCCUGGCGCCUCACAUUUUGUGCCAAACCAGGACUGCACUGCAAGAAGUCUCCUUGCCAAUUUUCCUUUAUUAAAAAGAUACUCCUGCAAAAAAAAAAAAAAAAAAAAAGAUACUCCUUUCCAUGCCCAAGAAUAACAUGGAAAAGGAUAACCAUUUAACUAUGUUUGACCAUGGUCCUGAGGAAUUCAGCAGGAUCUCACAGAGUUCCAAACUCUACAUUUUUCAAUUCACAAGCAAAGGAUGAAUGAUAUAUCAACAGCACAAUAAUAGAAAAUGUGUAAUUCUUUAGAAGGCUUAACAAUGUCACCAGAGUGCCAAGCAUCCAUGUUAUGAAGGUUGUCAUACACCAUGACUAUAAACAUAGUGUGCUAGCAUUACAUUUUGAGCAAUAAUAGAAUAUGCUUCUUUGAAAGUUGUGAAAGCUGAGCUGCCAUUAAGGAUUUGGCAUUUCAUUUUGCUGUAUGGAAAGCCAUUUAGCAUGUGGUUUGACACCCAGCAUUUGGGAGUUCGUCCAAGUUCAGUUGUCCUAGACAGUUAAUAUCUUCUUCUUGUAGAGUUUAGAUAGCCCCACUAGCAUUCAGGAUUUCCAGACACACACUGCAUUAUUUUAAAGCACAUCUUUUAGUGCCAGACAACGGGCAAAUGCUAGUGAAGUUCCAGGUAGAGGCAUGUUUAUUUGUUUUCUGUGGUUCAGAAACCAUUUCCUUUUGCUUGAAUAAGACACUCUCUAAAAGCAAUUUCCUUUCUCUUUCCAUGGCUCCAUGAAAUGGUAAAUUAUUAAAAUGAUCAGGGCUACUGGUAUGGUAGUGAAUGAGAGGUGAUCUUGCAUUGGAGGGGGUACUGAGCAUAGAGAAAGUUUGAAAAAGGAACAUAAAUCCCUUCUAUGGGACUCAGGUUGAGUUUUUUUGUCAGUAGUUCCUCUGUCCUCCCUUGAUCUACACACACACUCCUUGGUUCCACUACUGCAUUAUAAAAAUGAUGAAUCUCAGGAUGAAGUUCUGUCUUUUAGCCCAUGUCACUGCUCGGGAGAGGUCAUGAAUAUGAAGAAAACAAUGAAGUAGAAUUCACAAACAAAACUGAAUGAAGUUGCUGAAAAGAAAACUUUGUUUGUAGCUGGAUCUCUUUGUACAGAGAGGCCCAGUACAUCCAUACUGGACGGCUAGUCAGAAAAAUCUAGAUUAUGGCCCCUGCUCUGACACCCAUGUAACUUUUGGCAAGACCUGUAACCACAC